This is a long non-coding RNA of Arabidopsis thaliana (thale cress), 432 nucleotides long. RefSeq annotates it as other RNA. The record is from RefSeq. The transcript is spliced from 2 exons. Lineage: Eukaryota; Viridiplantae; Streptophyta; Magnoliopsida; Brassicales; Brassicaceae.
ACACUUAAGUACUGAUCAUAUUCACUUCACUAAGACAAGAAACUUGAAAGCAAACUUGCAAGUGUAUUGUUUAUUCAGUUAUAUGGGCCUUGUUAGAUAUGUAAUGUUGGGCCUAUCUCAGAUGAUGCCUAACCCUAAAACCCAACUGAGACGAUUCUCUAAUGCUGUCGUUUUGGGAGAGCCGAAAGUUUACGCCGUCAGAAAGAAGAAGCUAUCCAGUUUAAUUCGGUUUGGUUCGUAGGCAGGCUGAUUGAUUCUUUUAGGGAACAGACAUCGAGACUGCGGAACCUAACUGAGUUUUGAGAACGAGUCGCGGCCGAGGCUGAGUCAACUCGGUCAACUAAUGGUUUGCCAUACAACUAGUUCUUAAGAAGGAUGUUAUCACAACUUCACAAGAUAGGUGUAAUGAUGUUCGUUCUGGUAGACUUGCUU